Molecule: ribosomal RNA, 558 nt
Filed under: uncultured bacterium
Lineage: Bacteria
Description: bacterial SSU rRNA
Rfam family: Archaeal small subunit ribosomal RNA
Source: RNAcentral
CCUACGGGGCGCAGCAGGGGCGAAAACUUUACAAUGCGGGAAACCGUGAUAAGGGGACACCGAGUGUCAGCAUCAUAUGCUGGCUGUCCAGGUGUGUAAAAUACACCUGUUAGCAAGGGCCGGGCAAGACCGGUGCCAGCCGCCGCGGUAACACCGGCGGCCCGAGUGGUGAUCGUGAUUAUUGGGUCUAAAGGGUCCGUAGCCGGUUUGGUCAGUCCUCCGGGAAAUCUGAUAGCUCAACUAUUAGGCUAUCGGGGGAUACUGCCAGGCUUGGAACCGGGAGAGGUAAGAGGUACUACAGGGGUAGGAGUGAAAUCUUGUAAUCCCUGUGGGACCACCUGUGGCGAAGGCGUCUUACCAGAACGGGUUCGACGGUGAGGGACGAAAGCUGGGGGCACGAACCGGAUUAGAUACCCGGGUAGUCCCAGCCGUAAACGAUGCUCGCUAGGUGUCAGGCAUGGCGCGACCGUGUCUGGUGCCGCAGGGAAGCCGUGAAGCGAGCCACCUGGGAAGUACGGCCGCAAGGCUGAAACUUAAAGGAAUUGCGGGGGAGCACAA